This 259-nucleotide ribosomal RNA is filed under the name uncultured bacterium. RNAcentral describes it as "partial 16S ribosomal RNA". It matches the Rfam family "Bacterial small subunit ribosomal RNA", at positions 793 to 1055 of the family's 1533-position model. The record is from RNAcentral.
GUCCACGCAGUAAACGAUGAAUACUAACUGUAUGCGAUAUACUGUAUGCGGUACAGCGAAAGCGUUAAGUAUUCCACCUGGGGAGUACGUUCGCAAGAAUGAAACUCAAAGGAAUUGACGGGGGCCCGCACAAGCGGAGGAACAUGUGGUUUAAUUCGAUGAUACGCGAGGAACCUUACCCGGGCUUGAAAUGCAGAAGACCGACGAAGAAAUUCGUUUUCCAGCAAUGGCUUCUGUGUAGGUGCUGCAUGGUUGUCGU